This 253-nucleotide ribosomal RNA is filed under the name uncultured bacterium. Its description in RNAcentral is "partial 16S ribosomal RNA". It matches the Rfam family "Bacterial small subunit ribosomal RNA", at positions 524 to 776 of the family's 1533-position model. The record is from RNAcentral.
UACAGAGGUGGCAAGCGUUGUUCGGAAUUACUGGGCGUAAAGGGCGCGUAGGCGGCCUACUAAGUCAGACGUGAAAUCCCCCGGCUUAACCUGGGAACUGCGUCUGAUACUGGAAGGCUUGAGGAUGGGAGAGGGAUGUAGAAUUCCAGGUGUAGCGGUGAAAUGCGUAGAUAUCAGGAGGAAUACCGGUGGCGAAAGCGACUCUCUGGACGGCAACUGACGCUGAGGCACGAAAGCGUGGGGAGCAAACAGG